This 433-nucleotide ribosomal RNA is filed under the name uncultured bacterium. Its description in RNAcentral is "partial 16S ribosomal RNA". It matches the Rfam family "Bacterial small subunit ribosomal RNA", at positions 29 to 507 of the family's 1533-position model. The record is from RNAcentral.
AACGAACGCUGGCGGCAUGCCUAACACAUGCCAGUCGAACGAGACCUUCGGGUCUAGUGGCGCACGGGUGCGUAACGCGUGGGAACCUGCCCUUAGGUUCGGAAUAACUCCCCGAAAGGGGUGCUAAUACCGGAUAAUGUCUUCGGACCAAAGAUUUAUCGCCUUUGGAUGGGCCCGCGUUGGAUUAGCUAGUUGGUAGGGUAAAAGCCUACCAAGGCGACGAUCCAUAGCUGGUCUGAGAGGAUGAUCAGCCACACUGGGACUGAGACACGGCCCAGACUCCUACGGGAGGCAGCAGUGGGGAAUAUUGGACAAUGGGCGAAAGCCUGAUCCAGCAAUGCCGCGUGAGUGAUGAAGGCCUUAGGGUUGAAAAGCUCUUUUACCCGGGAUGAUAAUGACAGUACCGGGAGAAUAAGCUCCGGCUAACUCCGUG